UACGUAGGGGGCUAGCGUUAUCCGGAUUUACUGGGCGUAAAGGGUGCGUAGGUGGUUUCUUAAGUCAGGAGUGAAAGGCUACGGCUCAAACGUAGUAAGCUCUUGAAACUGGGAAACUUGAGUGCAGGAGAGGAAAGUGGAAUUCCUAGUGUAGCGGUGAAAUGCGUAGAUAUUAGGAGGAACACCAGUAGCGAAGGCGGCUUUCUGGACUGUAACUGCAACUGAGGCACGAAAGCGUGGGGAGCAAACAGGAUUAGAUACCCUGGUAGUCCACGCCGUAAACGAUGAGUACUAGGUGUCGGGGGUUACCCCCCUCGGUGCCGCAGCUAACGCAUUAAGUACUCCGCCUGGGGAGUACGCUCGCAAGAGUGAA
This 373-nucleotide ribosomal RNA is filed under the name uncultured bacterium. Its description in RNAcentral is "bacterial SSU rRNA". It matches the Rfam family "Bacterial small subunit ribosomal RNA", at positions 524 to 898 of the family's 1533-position model. The record is from RNAcentral.